UUUCCGGGAGACACCGAGGGAGACAGUAGAGGCCGCUCCUCCCUGCUGCGCGGCACCCCCACCCCCCCGCAGGGGUGGAUGGGCACCUCGGAGGCAAGCCAGGGGCUGGUGGGGGCCGGAACAGUGGCGGGAUUUCUGCAGGUGUGACCGGGGUUUCUAAUCAGGUGACUUGGCGUUCAUCAGAAGGGAGGUUGAUCUGGCCGAGCCUGGCUAGCUCAGGUGCACCCUUUAAGAGGCUGGAAGCCACAGAGCCGCCCCCUCCUGAUGCCAAAGAAGCAUAUGGCCAUCGGCUCCACAGCUGCGAGAAAGAUUAUGCACACAACGACAUGCGCUCAGGAGGGGACCUCGCGCCUCGGUUGAGAUCCCAGCCCUGGCUGACACCUUGAGUGCAGCCUGUGAGACCCUGAGCAGAGGUUCAGCAGUCCCCUCCCCGGACUCCUGCCACACAGAAGCCAUGAGCUGACAGAACCAAGGACACACACCUUGUUAACGACGCCCUCAAGGCUGUGAGGAGAAAGACAACCGGGUGAAGCAACGCUGGGAAUUCAACGCAUC
This 555-nucleotide long non-coding RNA is filed under the name Homo sapiens (human). RNAcentral's name for it is "HSALNT0384148". Lineage: Eukaryota; Metazoa; Chordata; Mammalia; Primates; Hominidae. The record is from RNAcentral.